RNAcentral lists this ribosomal RNA (105 nucleotides) under Amanita calyptrata. RNAcentral describes it as "5.8S ribosomal RNA". It matches the Rfam family "5.8S ribosomal RNA", at positions 1 to 104 of the family's 154-position model. From Rfam's summary of the family: 5.8S ribosomal RNA (5.8S rRNA) is a component of the large subunit of the eukaryotic ribosome. The record is from RNAcentral. Lineage: Eukaryota; Fungi; Basidiomycota; Agaricomycetes; Agaricales; Amanitaceae.
CAACUUUCAACAACGGAUCUCUUGGCUCUCGCAUCGAUGAAGAACGCAGCGAAAUGCGAUAAGUAAUGUGAAUUGCAGAUUUCAGUGAAUCAUCGAAUCUUUGAA